GAGCUCUCCCCUGAGAAGAUUCCACAGCUACAUCCCACUCAACGCAUCAAAAACUCAAGUGCUGAUGGAGGUCAAGGAGCAGCUGCCAAGGCCGGAAAGGAUGCGCACCACCCCAGGAAGCACAAUCCUAACAAGUUCUGCCUCUAUCAUCGUGACCACGGUCAUGACAUAGAGGAGUGUAUCCAGCUCUGAGAUGAGAUCAAGGAGCUGAUCAGAUGAGGUUGGCUCGACAGAUUCAUUCGACGUCGACCUGAAGGUAGGAAAGAUCGGCCUAGGGCCCUGCCGCAGUCGGAGCCACC
This 299-nucleotide long non-coding RNA is filed under the name Elaeis guineensis (African oil palm). RNAcentral describes it as "long non-coding RNA (EGUI_LNC065277)". The record is from RNAcentral. Lineage: Eukaryota; Viridiplantae; Streptophyta; Magnoliopsida; Arecales; Arecaceae.